RNAcentral lists this ribosomal RNA (450 nucleotides) under uncultured bacterium. RNAcentral's name for it is "bacterial SSU rRNA". It matches the Rfam family "Bacterial small subunit ribosomal RNA", at positions 354 to 796 of the family's 1533-position model. The record is from RNAcentral.
GUGGGGAAUAUUGGACAAUGGGCGAAAGCCUGAUCCAGCCAUGCCGCGUGUGUGAAGAAGGUCUUCGGAUUGUAAAGCACUUUAAGUUGGGAGGAAGGGCAGUAAGUUAAUACCUUGCUGUUUUGACGUUACCGACAGAAUAAGCACCGGCUAACUUCGUGCCAGCAGCCGCGGUAAUACGAAGGGUGCAAGCGUUAAUCGGAAUUACUGGGCGUAAUGCGCGCGUAGGUGGUUUUGUAAGUUGGAGGUGAAAUCCCCGGGCUCAACCUGGGAACUUCCUCGCAAACUGCAUGACUCGAGUACGGUAGAGGGUAGUGGAAUUUCCUGUGUAGCGGUGAAAUGCGUAGAUAUAGGAAGGAACACCAGUAGCGAAGGCGACUACCUGGACUGAUACUGACACUGAGGGGCGAAAGCGUGGGGAGCAAACAGGAUUAGAUACCCCUGUAGUCC